AAUGAACGUUGGCGGCGUGGAUUAGGCAUGCAAGUCGAGCGAGAACCCGCAAGGGGGACAGCGGCGAACGGGGUAGGAAUACGUAGGUAACGUACCCUCGGGGCGAGGACAGCCACGGGGAAACUGUGGUUAAUACUCGAUAAACUUCCCAAUCAUUAUGGAAGGGGAAGCAAUGGGUGUGAUUCCACCUGAGGAGCGGCUUACGCAGUAUCAGCUAGUUGGUGAGGUAACGCUCACCAAGGCUACGACGCUUAGGGGGUGUGAGAGCAUGGCCCCCACCACUGGCACUGAGACACUGGCCAGACACCUACGGGUGGCUGCAGUCGAGAAUCUUCGGCAAUGGACGCAAGUCUGACCGAGCGACGCCGCGUGUGGGAUGAAGGCCUUCGGGUUGUAAACUGCUUUUAUAGGUGAAGAUUAUGACGGUAACCUAU
This 434-nucleotide ribosomal RNA is filed under the name uncultured bacterium. RNAcentral describes it as "bacterial SSU rRNA". It matches the Rfam family "Bacterial small subunit ribosomal RNA", at positions 29 to 483 of the family's 1533-position model. The record is from RNAcentral.